GAUUUUAAUUGAAUGCUAAGAGAAUGGAUUAACGAAAAAUGACUUUUUUAAAUUCAAUAAUUGAAUUUAUUUUUAUUUGUGAGGAAACAAUAAUAAAUAUUAAGGACAAGAAGACCCUAAGAAUUUAAAAAGAAUUAAUAUUUGAAUCAAAAUUUAUAUCUUUUUAAUUGGGGCGAUUAAGAAAUAUUAAUAACUUUCUUUACAAUACCAAAAUGAACCGUUAAUAGUGGUAAUAUGAUAAAAAUACUCUAGGGAUAACAGCGUAAUAAUUUUUGAUAGUUCAUAUAGACAAAAUAGUUUGCGACCUCGAUGUUGGAUUAGGAUACUUUUUUAAUGAAGAAGUUAAAAUAAGGAGUUUG
Molecule: ribosomal RNA, 359 nt
Filed under: Amblyomma longirostre
Lineage: Eukaryota; Metazoa; Arthropoda; Arachnida; Ixodida; Ixodidae
Description: partial 16S ribosomal RNA
Source: RNAcentral